Molecule: ribosomal RNA, 252 nt
Filed under: uncultured bacterium
Lineage: Bacteria
Description: partial 16S ribosomal RNA
Rfam family: Bacterial small subunit ribosomal RNA
Source: RNAcentral
UACGUAGGGGGCAAGCGUUGUCCGGAUUUAUUGGGCGUAAAGAGCGUGUAGGCGGCUUGGUAGGUCUCGCGUCAAAACCUGAGGCUCAACCUCAGUUCGCGUGGGAAACCACCUAGCUGGAGUCCGGAAGAGGAGAACGGAAUUCCCAGUGUAGCGGUGAAAUGCGCAGAUAUUGGGAAGAACACCAGUGGCGAAGGCGGUUCUCUGGGACGGUACUGACGCUGAGACGCGAAAGCGUGGGGAGCGAACAGG